RNAcentral lists this ribosomal RNA (492 nucleotides) under uncultured bacterium. RNAcentral's name for it is "partial 16S ribosomal RNA". It matches the Rfam family "Bacterial small subunit ribosomal RNA", at positions 30 to 507 of the family's 1533-position model. The record is from RNAcentral.
AGUGAACGCUGGCGGUAGGCCUAACACAUGCAAGUCGAACGGCAGCACAGUAAGUGCUUGCUCUUACGGGUGGGGAGUGGCGGACGGGUCAGGAAUACAUCGGUCUCUACAUUUCCGUGUGGGCCCACGUAGGGAAACCUACGCUCAUACAGCAUACGACCUACGGGUGAAAGCCGGGGAUCUUCGGACCUUGCGCGAUUGAAUGAGCCGAUGUCGGAUUAGCUAGUUGGCGGGGUAAAGGCCCACCAAGGCGACGAUCCGUAGCUGGUCUGUGAGGAGGAUCAGCCACUGUGGGGCUGAGAGACGGGACAGACUGCGACGGGAGGCGACAGUGGGGAAGAUAGGACAAUGGGCGCAAUCCUGCUCCAUCGGUACGGGGCGGGUGAAGAAGGCCUUCGAGUUGUAGAGCCCUUUUGUUGGGAAAGAAAAGCAGCGGUUGAGUACACGGGUGUUCUGACGGUACCCGAAGAAGAAGCACCGGCUAACUUCGUG